UUAAGUUCAGCGGGUAUUCCUACCUGAUCCGAGGUCAACCUGAAAAAAGUUUUUGGAGGUGACCGGGUCCCGGGGCCCUUGAAACUCUUACGCGUGCUCCGGAAAGCUCAGUGCGAAGAGGGUCCCUGGGACGCCGUCAUUGUCUUUGAGACCAGUUGGCCGGGGAACGGCCAACGCGGUCCAACACCAAACCCGGAGGU
Molecule: unclassified non-coding RNA, 200 nt
Filed under: fungal sp.
Lineage: Eukaryota; Fungi
Description: partial internal transcribed spacer 2
Source: RNAcentral